RNAcentral lists this transfer RNA (75 nucleotides) under Desulfobacteraceae bacterium 4572_19. RNAcentral's name for it is "tRNA-Gly". It matches the Rfam family "tRNA". Rfam says of the family: Transfer RNA (tRNA) molecules are approximately 80 nucleotides in length. Their secondary structure includes four short double-helical elements and three loops (D, anti-codon, and T loops). The record is from RNAcentral. Lineage: Bacteria; Pseudomonadati; Thermodesulfobacteriota; Desulfobacteria; Desulfobacterales; Desulfobacteraceae. RNAcentral also lists the same sequence under 3 other names.
GCGGGAGUAACUCAGUGGUAGAGUGCGACCUUGCCAAGGUCGAAGUCGCGAGUUCAAAUCUCGUUUCCCGCUCCA